GUGGGGAAUAUUGGACAAUGGGCGAAAGCCUGAUCCAGCCAUGCCGCGUGUGUGAAGAAGGUCUUCGGAUUGUAAAGCACUUUAAGUUGGGAGGAAGGGCAGUAAGUUAAUACCUUGCUGUUUUGACGUUACCGACAGAAUAAGCACCGGCUAACUUCGUGCCAGCAGCCGCGGUAAUACGAAGGGUGCAAGCGUUAAUCGGAAUUACUGGGCGUAAAGCGCGCGGAGGUGGUUUUGUAAGUUGGAGGUGAAAUCCCCGGGCUCAACCUGGGAACUGCCUCCAAAACUGCAUGACUGGAGUACGGUAGAGGGUAGUGGAAUUUCCUGUGUAGCGGUGAAAUGCGUAGAUAUAGGAAGGAACACCAGUGGCGAAGGCGACUACCUGGACUGAUACUGACACUGAGGUGCGAAAGCGUGGGGAGCAAACAGGAUUAGAUACCCUAGUAGUCC
Molecule: ribosomal RNA, 450 nt
Filed under: uncultured bacterium
Lineage: Bacteria
Description: partial 16S ribosomal RNA
Rfam family: Bacterial small subunit ribosomal RNA
Source: RNAcentral